GUGCUUGCUUUGGCAGCACAUAUAUUAAAAUUGGAACGAUGCAGAGAAGAUUAGGAUGGCCCCUGAACAAUUAUGACACACAAAUUUGUGAAGUGUUCUAUAUUGUA
Molecule: small nuclear RNA, 107 nt
Organism: Rattus norvegicus (Norway rat)
Lineage: Eukaryota; Metazoa; Chordata; Mammalia; Rodentia; Muridae
Source: Ensembl